Molecule: ribosomal RNA, 274 nt
Filed under: uncultured Ascomycota
Lineage: Eukaryota; Fungi; Ascomycota
Description: partial 18S ribosomal RNA
Rfam family: Eukaryotic small subunit ribosomal RNA
Source: RNAcentral
UUGGAGGGCAAGUCUGGUGCCAGCAGCCGCGGUAAUUCCAGCUCCAAUAGCGUAUAUUAAAGUUGUUGCGGUUAAAAAAGCUCGUAGUUGAACCUUGGGCCUGGCUGGCCGGUCCGCCUCACCGCGUGUACUGGUCCGGCCGGGCCUUUCCCUCUGUGGAACCCCAUGCCCUUCACUGGGUGUGGCGGGGAAACAGGACUUUUACUGUGAAAAAAUUAGAGUGCUCCAGGCAGGCCUAUGCUCGAAUACAUUAGCAUGGAAUAAUAGAAUAGGA